UGCAAGUCGAGCGCAGGAAUAAACAGGAUCCCUUCGGGGUAGAUGUUUAUGGAAUGAGCGGCGGACGGGUGAGUAACACGUGGGCAACCUGCCUGUAAGAUCGGGAUAACUCGCGGAAACGUGAGCUAAUACCGGAUAACACUUUUCAUCUCAUGGUGAGAAGAUAAAAGACGGUUUCGGCUGUCACUUACAGAUGGGCCCGCGGCGCAUUAGCUAGUUGGUGAGGUAACGGCUCACCAAGGCGACGAUGCGUAGCCGACCUGAGAGGGUGAUCGGCCACACUGGGACUGAGACACGGCCCAGACUCCUACGGGAGGCAGCAGUAGGGAAUCUUCCGCAAUGGACGAAAGUCUGACGGAGCAACGCCGCGUGAGUGAUGAAGGUUUUCGGAUCGUAAAACUCUGUUGUUAGGGAAGAACAAGUUGGGUAGUAACUGACCCAACCUUGACGGUACCUAACCAGAAAGCCACGGCUAACUACGUGCCAGCAGCCGCGGUAAUACGUAGGUGGCAAGCGUUGUCCGGAAUUAUUGGGCGUAAAGCGCUCGCAGGCGGUCUUUUAAGUCUGAUGUGAAAGCCCACGGCUUAACCGUGGAGGGUCAUUGGAAACUGGAGGACUUGAGUACAGAAGAGGAGAGUGGAAUUCCACGUGUAGCGGUGAAAUGCGUAGAGAUGUGGAGGAACACCAGUGGCGAAGGCGACUCUCUGGUCUGUAACUGACGCUGAGGAGCGAAAGCGUGGGUAGCGAACAGGAUUAGAUACCCUGGUAGUCCACGCCGUAAACGAUGAGUGCUAGGUGUUAGGGGGUUUCCGCCCCUUAGUGCUGAAGUUAACGCAUUAAGCACUCCGCCUGGGGAGUACGGCCGCAAGGCUGAAACUCAAAAGAAUUGACGGGGGCCCGCACAAGCGGUGGAGCAUGUGGUUUAAUUCGAAGCAACGCGAAGAACCUUACCAGGUCUUGACAUCCUCUGAUACCUCUAG
This 980-nucleotide ribosomal RNA is filed under the name Oceanobacillus sp. MRSA178bB15_13_3E. RNAcentral describes it as "bacterial SSU rRNA". It matches the Rfam family "Bacterial small subunit ribosomal RNA", at positions 56 to 1003 of the family's 1533-position model. Lineage: Bacteria; Bacillati; Bacillota; Bacilli; Caryophanales; Bacillaceae. The record is from RNAcentral.